RNAcentral lists this ribosomal RNA (691 nucleotides) under Caulobacteraceae bacterium. RNAcentral describes it as "bacterial SSU rRNA". It matches the Rfam family "Bacterial small subunit ribosomal RNA", at positions 99 to 825 of the family's 1533-position model. The record is from RNAcentral. Lineage: Bacteria; Pseudomonadati; Pseudomonadota; Alphaproteobacteria; Caulobacterales; Caulobacteraceae.
CGGACGGGUGAGUAACACGUGGGAACGUGCCUUUUGGUUCGGAAUAACUCAGGGAAACUUGUGCUAAUACCGAAUGUGCCCUUCGGGGGAAAGAUUUAUCGCCAUUAGAGCGGCCCGCGUCUGAUUAGCUAGUUGGUGAGGUAAAGGCUCACCAAGGCGACGAUCAGUAGCUGGUCUGAGAGGAUGAUCAGCCACAUUGGGACUGAGACACGGCCCAAACUCCUACGGGAGGCAGCAGUGGGGAAUCUUGCGCAAUGGGCGAAAGCCUGACGCAGCCAUGCCGCGUGAAUGAUGAAGGUCUUAGGAUUGUAAAAUUCUUUCACCGGGGACGAUAAUGACGGUACCCGGAGAAGAAGCCCCGGCUAACUUCGUGCCAGCAGCCGCGGUAAUACGAAGGGGGCUAGCGUUGCUCGGAAUUACUGGGCGUAAAGGGAGCGUAGGCGGACAUUUAAGUCAGGGGUGAAAUCCCGGGGCUCAACCUCGGAAUUGCCUUUGAUACUGGGUGUCUUGAGUAUGAGAGAGGUAUGUGGAACUCCGAGUGUAGAGGUGAAAUUCGUAGAUAUUCGGAAGAACACCAGUGGCGAAGGCGACAUACUGGCUCAUUACUGACGCUGAGGCUCGAAAGCGUGGGGAGCAAACAGGAUUAGAUACCCUGGUAGUCCACGCCGUAAACGAUGAUUGCUAGUUGUCG